Molecule: small nuclear RNA, 102 nt
Organism: Capra hircus (goat)
Lineage: Eukaryota; Metazoa; Chordata; Mammalia; Artiodactyla; Bovidae
Source: Ensembl
GUGCCUUGGCAGCACAUAUACUAAAUUAGAACAAUACAGAGAAGAUUAGCAUGGCCCCUGUGCAAGGAUGAUAUGCAAAUUCAUGAAGCAUUCCAUACUUUU